RNAcentral lists this ribosomal RNA (631 nucleotides) under uncultured Acidobacteriota bacterium. RNAcentral's name for it is "bacterial SSU rRNA". It matches the Rfam family "Bacterial small subunit ribosomal RNA", at positions 28 to 638 of the family's 1533-position model. The record is from RNAcentral. Lineage: Bacteria; Pseudomonadati; Acidobacteriota.
AAUCAACGCUGGCGGCGUGCCUAACACAUGCAAGUCGAACGCGAAAGGGGCUUCGGCCCUGAGUAGAGUGGCGAACGGGUGAGUAACGCGUGGGUGACCUACCUUCGAGUGGGGGAUAACGUUCCGAAAGGAACGCUAAUACCGCAUGAAGUUCUGGAUUUGAACAUCUGGAAACCAAAGCCGGGGAUCGCAAGACCUGGCGCUUGGAGAGGGGCCCGCGUCCGAUUAGCUAGUUGGCGGGGUAAUGGCCCACCAAGGCGACGAUCAGUAGCCGGCCUGAGAGGGCGGACGGCCACACUGGGACUGAGACACGGCCCAGACUCCUACGGGAGGCAGCAGUGGGGAAUUGUUCGCAAUGGGCGCAAGCCUGACGACGCAACGCCGCGUGGGGGAUGAAGGUCUUCGGAUUGUAAACCCCUGUCGAGCGGGACGAAUGGCCCGCGACCUAAUACGUCGUGGGAGUGACGGUACCGCUAAAGGAAGCCACGGCUAACUCUGUGCCAGCAGCCGCGGUAAUACAGAGGUGGCAAGCGUUGUUCGGAAUUACUGGGCGUAAAGGGCGCGUAGGCGGCCCUCUAAGUCAAACGUGAAAUCCCCCGGCUUAACCUGGGAACUGCGUCUGAUACUGGAG